This 372-nucleotide ribosomal RNA is filed under the name uncultured organism. RNAcentral's name for it is "bacterial SSU rRNA". It matches the Rfam family "Bacterial small subunit ribosomal RNA", at positions 526 to 896 of the family's 1533-position model. The record is from RNAcentral.
CGAGUGCCUCAAGCGUUAUCCGGAAUUAUUGGGCGUAAAGGUUGUGUAGGUGGUUGUAUUAGUCUCUUGUUAAAUUCUUCGGCUUAACCGGGGGCAUGCAAGGGAAACGGUACGACUCGAGGAUGCGAGGGGUCUGCGGAACUCAUAGUGUAGCGGUGAAAUGCGUUGAUAUUAUGGGGAACACCAAAAGCGAAGGCAGCAGACUGGAGCACUCCUGACACUGAAACAAGAAAGCGUGGGUCGCGAAUGAGAUUAGAUACCCCAGUAGUCCACGCCCUAAACGAUGAUCUCUAGAUAUUCGGAGUAUCGACCCUCUGAGUGUCGUAGCUAACGCGUUAAGAGAUCCGCCUGGGUAGUACGACCGCAAGGUUA